RNAcentral lists this ribosomal RNA (206 nucleotides) under uncultured bacterium. RNAcentral's name for it is "partial 16S ribosomal RNA". It matches the Rfam family "Bacterial small subunit ribosomal RNA", at positions 568 to 774 of the family's 1533-position model. The record is from RNAcentral.
UUCGUAGGUGGUGCGGCAAGUUGGAAGUGAAAUCUCUGGGCUUAACCCAGAGGCUGCUUUCAAAACUGCCGUGCUCGAGUGCGAGAGAGGCCAGUGGAAUUGCAGGUGUAGCGGUGAAAUGCGUAGAUAUCUGCAGGAACACCCGUGGCGAAGGCGGCUGACUGGAUCGCAACUGACACUGAGGAACGAAAGCUAGGGAGCAAACA